UCCUACGGGAGGCAGCAGUGGGGAAUAUUGCACAAUGGGCGAGAGCCUGAACCAGCCAAGUCGCGUGAGGGAAGACGGUCCUACGGAUUGUAAACCUCUUUUGCCGGGGAGCAAAAAGCGGUACGUGUACCGCAUCGAGAGUACCCGGAGAAAAAGCAUCGGCUAACUCCGUGCCAGCAGCCGCGGUAAUACGGAGGAUGCGAGCGUUAUCCGGAUUUAUUGGGUUUAAAGGGUGCGCAGGCGGCGAGUUAAGUCAGCGGUAAAAUUUCGGGGCUCAACCCCGCCGAGCCGUUGAAACUGGCUUG
RNAcentral lists this ribosomal RNA (305 nucleotides) under uncultured bacterium. RNAcentral's name for it is "bacterial SSU rRNA". It matches the Rfam family "Bacterial small subunit ribosomal RNA", at positions 337 to 640 of the family's 1533-position model. The record is from RNAcentral.